CUCUAUAACCAUGUGUGAACGUACCUAUCUUGUAGUGAGAUGAAUGCUGUUUUGGUGGUAGGGCCCUUCUGAAGAGAGGGCACCGCUGCCAGCAGUAUAGUCUCACCACUAUAAAACUCUUUUAUUAUUUUCUAGAUUUUUCAUUGCUGAGUGGCAUAACUAUAAAAAAGUUAAAACUUUCAACAACGGAUGCGAAAUGCGAUAAGUAAUGUGAAUUGCAGAAUUCAGUGAAUCAUCGAAUCUUUGAACGCACAUUGCGCCUGGCAGUAUUCUGCCAGGCAUGCCUGUCCGAGCGUCAUUUCACCACUCAAGACUCUUUUGUUCUUGGCGUUGGAGGUCCUGUUCUCCCCUGAACAGGCCGCCGAAAUGUAUCGGCUGUUAUACUUGCCAACUCCCCUGUG
RNAcentral lists this unclassified non-coding RNA (401 nucleotides) under Ceratocystis manginecans. Its description in RNAcentral is "partial contains ITS1, 5.8S rRNA and ITS2". The stretch from base 175 to 298 matches the Rfam family "5.8S ribosomal RNA". The record is from RNAcentral. Lineage: Eukaryota; Fungi; Ascomycota; Sordariomycetes; Microascales; Ceratocystidaceae.